ACUAGUGACAGAGUGGGUGACUAGUGACAGAGAGAGGGAGGGGGUGACUAGUGACAGAGAGAGGGAGGGGGUGACUAGUGACAGAGUGAGGGAGGUGGUGAUUAGUGACAGAGGGAAGGAUGGGGUGACUAGUGACAGUCACCACCUCCUUCACUCUGUCACUGUGUCACCCCCUUCCUCACUCUGUCACUGUGUCACCCCCUUCCUCACUCUGUCACUAGUCACCCCCUCUCUCACUCUGUCACCAGGCAUUCCUUCACUCUGUCACCAGUCAUCCCUUCCUUCCCUCACUCUGCCACUAGUCAUCCCUUCCCUCACUCUG
Non-coding RNA from Pelobates cultripes (western spadefoot toad), 322 nucleotides. NCBI's taxonomy places the organism in Eukaryota, Metazoa, Chordata, Amphibia, Anura, Pelobatidae. The record is from the annotation of a GenBank genome assembly.